GGCGGACGGGUGAGUAACGCGUGGGUAACCUGCCUCAUACAGGGGGAUAACAGUUAGAAAUGACUGCUAAUACCGCAUAAGACCACAGCACCGCAUGGUGCAGGGGUAAAAACUCCGGUGGUAUGAGAUGGACCCGCGUCUGAUUAGGUAGUUGGUGGGGUAACGGCCUACCAAGCCGACGAUCAGUAGCCGACCUGAGAGGGUGACCGGCCACAUUGGGACUGAGACACGGCCCAAACUCCUACGGGAGGCAGCAGUGGGGAAUAUUGCACAAUGGACGAGAGUCUGAACCAGCCAAGUAGCGUGAAGGAUGACUGCCCUAUGGGUUGUAAACUUCUUUUAUAUGGGAAUAAAGUGAGUCACGUGUGGCUUUUUGUAUGUACCAUAUGAAUAAGGAUCGGCUAACUCCGUGCCAGCAGCCGCGGUAAUACGGAGGAUCCGAGCGUUAUCCGGAUUUAUUGGGUUUAAAGGGAGCGUAGGCGGAUGCUUAAGUCAGUUGUGAAAGUUUGCGGCUCAACCGUAAAAUUGCAGUUGAAACUGGGUGUCUUGAGUGCAGUAGAGGUAGGCGGAAUUCGUGGUGUAGCGGUGAAAUGCUUAGAUAUCACGAAGAACUCCGAUUGCGAAGGCAGCUUGCUGGACAGUAACUGACGUUGAGGCUCGAAAGCGUGGGGAGCAAACAGGAAUAGAUACCCUGGUAGUCCACGCCGUAAACGAUGACUACUAGGUGUCGGGUGGCAAAGCCAUUCGGUGCCGCAGCAAACGCAAUAAGUAGUCCACCUGGGGAGUACGUUCGCAAGAAUGAAACUCAAAGGAAUUGACGGGGGCCCGCACAAGCGGAGGAACAUGUGGUUUAAUUCGAUGAUACGCGAGGAACCUUACCCGGGCUUAAAUUGCAACAGAAUAUAUUGGAAACAGUAUAGCCGUAAGGCUGUUGUGAAGGUGCUGCAUGGUUGUCGUCAGCUCGUGCCGUGAGGUGUCGGCUUAAGUGCCAUAACGAGCGCAACCCUUAUCUUUAGUUACUAACAGGUCAUGCUGAGGACUCUAGAGAGACUGCCGUCGUAAGAUGUGAGGAAGGUGGGGAUGACGUCAAAUCAGCACGGCCCUUACGUCCGGGGCUACACACGUGUUACAAUGGGGGGUACAGAGGGCCGCUACCACGCGAGUGGAUGCCAAUCCCUAAAACCCCUCUCAGUUCGGACUGGAGUCUGCAACCCGACUCCACGAAGCUGGAUUCGCUAGUAAUCGCGCAUCAGCCACGGCGCGGUGAAUACGUUCCCGGGCCUUGCACUCACCGCCCGUCAAG
RNAcentral lists this ribosomal RNA (1303 nucleotides) under uncultured bacterium. Its description in RNAcentral is "partial 16S ribosomal RNA". It matches the Rfam family "Bacterial small subunit ribosomal RNA", at positions 97 to 1401 of the family's 1533-position model. The record is from RNAcentral.